RNAcentral lists this unclassified non-coding RNA (259 nucleotides) under Hevea brasiliensis (rubber tree). The record is from RNAcentral. Lineage: Eukaryota; Viridiplantae; Streptophyta; Magnoliopsida; Malpighiales; Euphorbiaceae.
UGAGUGUGAUGGAUGAGCUACCCCAGACAUUCAAACUGGAUUCUGAUUAGAGUAUGUACAUGAUUGGUCGGUCACAUUUACAUGUUCUUUUGUACAUGUCGACUAGCUCAGUUAGUGGAAGUUCAUUUUCUUUUCUCCAUCCAUAUCUUGUCAAAAUCUCCACCUGACCCUUUCACUAUCCCCCAGCCCCUCCUUUCAUGUCUAUCUCCUCCAUAUGCUGUGAGGUACAAGCUGUACUAUGUCCUGGGUAACGUCUAAG